RNAcentral lists this small RNA (341 nucleotides) under Sinorhizobium meliloti 2011. Its description in RNAcentral is "putative ncRNA". Lineage: Bacteria; Pseudomonadati; Pseudomonadota; Alphaproteobacteria; Hyphomicrobiales; Rhizobiaceae. The record is from RNAcentral.
GUCAAACUGUUAGAAAAGGUACGGGGGCCUAUGCGCAAGAUCGUGUUGUUGCUCGCACUCGCCACGCUGGCGGCGUGCUCGCACACCGGGGACCGGGUGGUCGGCGGUGACGGGGAUUACUAUCAAGGUCUCGUCCCGCCGAGGUGAUCGUCACCUCCGAGGUGAUCGUCACCUCCAAGGUGAUCGCCGCCUCCGAGGUGAGUGUCACCUCCCGAGGUGAGUGUCACCUCCCGAGGUGAGUGUCACCUCUGCGCGGCCAAUUCCAUUGCGAGCCAAACGGCGGCGCCGGCUCGCACGGCAAAAACGGAGGCGCUGCGACUGCGCCGCCUCCGUCAGGGAAC